Molecule: ribosomal RNA, 253 nt
Filed under: uncultured bacterium
Lineage: Bacteria
Description: partial 16S ribosomal RNA
Rfam family: Bacterial small subunit ribosomal RNA
Source: RNAcentral
UACGUAGGGUGCAAGCGUUAUCCGGAAUUAUUGGGCGUAAAGAGCUCGUAGGCGGUUUGUCGCGUCGGCUGUGAAAACCUGGGGCUCAACCCCGGGCCUGCAGCCGAUACGGGCAAACUAGAAUUCGGUAGGGGAGACUGGAAUUCCUGGUGUAGCGGUGAAAUGCGCAGAUAUCAGGAGGAACACCGGUGGCGAAGGCGGGUCUCUGGGCCGAUAUUGACGCUGAGGAGCGAAAGCGUGGGGAGCGAACAGG